Sapajus apella (tufted capuchin) is the source of this 2540-nucleotide long non-coding RNA. RefSeq lists it as uncharacterized. The transcript has 2 exons. Lineage: Eukaryota; Metazoa; Chordata; Mammalia; Primates; Cebidae. The record is from RefSeq and is a predicted model, not a curated record.
UCAAGCCUGCUCCAUUCUUUUUCCAUCCAGGGUUAUUGGCCAGUGGGUCAUACUCAGAGGUCCAGACAACCAGGUGCUGCAUAUCUCGCCAGUCUCAUGGUGUCCAUCAAAAGCCUCAGCACUUUCAGCAUUUUGAACCCACAGAUGAAGCCCUGAAUUCCUUCUUAGGAAGAGUGAGAUGUUAAAGACACAGACUGGUUACCUACUGGAAACAUGUAUUGCCUUUUUCUUUAUCUAUCAGAAGGGUCAAGAAACUCUUAGCUAUUUGAGUUCACCCUUGCAAGGCACUAUACUAAUACUGUAAGGAUAUUCAAGGAUAUGGUUCUUGUCUUCAAGAAGUUUCCAAUCCAGUAAAUAGAAUUAAGGCUUUUCAUAAUUUUAUCUGCUGAAUGCUAUAUUCAUAGCUUAAUGCAUUGUGAAGUUUAGAGGAAAAAGAAUUUCCAUGGAACAGAAAUAUCUAGGAAAGCUUUGUGGGGAAGAAAUAUUGAAGCUGGACUUUGACAGGGGGUAGAAUAUUAAGAAGUGGAGAUAGAGAAGGCAUGAGGCCACUGGAGCAAAAGCACCAAGGUGGGACAGUGCAGAUGUGGCCAGAUGGCAGCCUGGUUUGCUGGCGCAGGGGAGAGGCAGUGAGAAACACUGAGCCAGAGCGAUGUGCCAGAAAGGGAGCUUAUACAUUAUUCUUUAGGCAGUGGGAAUCAGUGAGGAUUUUUGAGCAAGGAAAUAGUAAAAUCAUAAGUCUCAGUAAGAUUAAUUUAGCAACACUAUAAAGACAAAUCAGAGAUACAAGGGAUUGUUGGUUCUAUUAUAAUAUGAUGAGGCCUUCCUUGAUCAACCUAUUUAAAAUUUCCACUCUCCCACAUCAUCCCGAGCUCUCUCAUUCUGCUAUAUGUGCAUGUUCUCCUUCCAUAACACGUACAGGCUUCUAACAUGCUGGGACACUUAUUUGCAUUGUGUAUUAUUAAUGUCUGUCUCUUUGGUUCGAAUUUAACUGUGAGAGGUGGUGACAUCUUGAUCUAACUUGUUCUCUGAUGUGUAGCACCCAGAAGAAUGCUGAGCACAGGGUAUGAGAUCAGCGGAUAUGGUUGGUUCAGAGACUAAACAUGCCUAAGUGGUAACUAGCCCCAAAUAGAACUUUAAAACGUAUUGCUCCUAGUCAUCAGUCAGAUUCUCAAACUUCUCCUUGACUUUGAGACCUGUUUUGUUCUCUGAAGCCAAUCAAGCAUUAUGUAAUAAGUAGAUGCCCCAGUUUUUACUCUUCAAAGUUCCCGUCUCAGCACUCGGUUGGAGAGCAAUCAUCAGACAAGUCUGGCUCACUUUGCUGCCUUCUCCCCAGAGCUGGUUCAGUAAUCCCCUGGUGACAAGAAAUGCAGUGGACACUCCUAAACAUUGAAGAGUCCGGCUCCCGGUUAAAAAUGGUGUGUGAUUUUUCGGGCCUGACCAUAGGCUACUUGAAAGGUUUUACCCGGCGCACCACACCGGGAAGCUGCCUUCCCACGCAGAGCGCACACCUGGUGCCUCGCAGCCGUUCCCAUGAAAGCCGCAGGCCCCGGCCCCCUCAUGUUCGAUCCAUAUUGACAUUCCUAGCUGGUGAGAGCUUUCCUCCCUAGGUCCCUCGGCCAGGCGCCUCUGCCUAGGCCUCCUGGUGGAGAGGAGGGGAAACAUCCAGGCACUUUUUUCAUUCCAACUCUGCCUGGUGCCUCUCCACUCCUGCGCUGUCUUGGUUCCUCUCCGCCUCACACCCGAGAGUCCAUAAAAUUGCCAAAGCCUUUUGUUCAGGUCUCCCUCAACAGUGCGAUGACCCUCAUGUCUGUGCUGAGCCACUCAACCAGUGUGCCAAGCCACGGGGAAAAGGAGCAGGGCGAGUCAGUGUUUUCUCCCGUUCAGACUCUUGCUGAUAUCAUAGCAGUGAUUAAAGGUUCAGUGCUUUCAUUUUUGGCUUGUUGCAUUAAUGGGUUACUCCACACCUGACAGCUCAGCUCGCCUGAGCGGAGCUCCUGACAAACAUACCACUUCACCCUGGAGAGGGAUUGACAGAGGCCUUGGAAGGACACCGGUUUAGGGAUCCUCAGUGAGUCCCAGAAUGCUUGCCUCAUAAUCACCUGGUACACGUGUAAAUAGAAAAGAGCAUUUUAUUGAAGUGCUUGCUUCCUUCCAGUCUUUUCAAAGGAGUAUUAAGUAAAAGCCUCGUAUCAAGGCAGUCAAUGGGCAACACAUCAGUUUUCCAUUUGGAUCAUCAGUGUGCAGGUGCAUGUAUGGAGGCAGGAAUGAGGAAGCGUACUGAGGAGGCUUAAGGCAAGAUGCUGAUAAUCAUGAUUUUCACAUAUAGCACACGUGUCCUAUAUUUCUGUAGUAGAGCAGUUAUUUUGUAUGUUUGCAGGUUUUAUUGUUUUAAAAGUUUCCUUUAUCUAGUCUUUGCAAAAUAUUCAAGGAGAUUCAUUGUCAUGCAAUUAGAAAAGCCUAUUUUUCUAACAGAGUUAUUCUUCAUUUGUGUGCUUGUGUUUUAUAAAUAAAAAGGAGCUGCUGACAACAGUGCAACUCAU